This 519-nucleotide ribosomal RNA is filed under the name Triticum aestivum (bread wheat). RNAcentral describes it as "partial small subunit ribosomal RNA". Lineage: Eukaryota; Viridiplantae; Streptophyta; Magnoliopsida; Poales; Poaceae. The record is from RNAcentral.
CCCCCAUUCCCCCCCACUCGUUCGCCUGUCCCCUCCCCCUCCUCUCGUUCCCGAUCUGGAUCGGGAAGGGGAGCGAUCCCGACCCCCUUCGCCGUCACCAUCUCCACUUGCCGUCGUCGACCACCGCCGCCGCACGAGGACCCGAAGCCGCCUAACGCUGCCCCGCCGUCGCCGCGUCCCCAUCCUCAUCCCCACCGGACUGCGCCCGCCUUCCCGCCGCCGCGACGCCACCCCGUCGUCCUCGUCUCCUCCUCGCCGGACGCAACCUCGACUCCUCCCCAAGUCCGCUGCCAUUCCCCUAUGGCCCCGCCACCCCGAGACCGAUGCUGCCCCUGUGAUCGACUACGUCGACGAUGACCCCUCCUUGCCAGAGCAACCAGAUGGUGGAGCCCAGGAUCCAGACGCCACCUUCGACGACGACUGCUACUACACUGAGGGUGCCUACUACUACGUGGAGGCCGCCGACGACCAGGAGUAGUUAGGAGGCUCCCAGGCAGGAGGCCUUGCCUUUUUUAUCGU